Molecule: ribosomal RNA, 450 nt
Filed under: uncultured bacterium
Lineage: Bacteria
Description: partial 16S ribosomal RNA
Rfam family: Bacterial small subunit ribosomal RNA
Source: RNAcentral
AACGAACGCUGGCGGCAGGCUUAACACAUGCAAGUCGAACGCGUGUAGCAAUACACGAGUGGCGCACGGGUGCGUAACGCGUGGGAACCUUCCUCGUAGUUCGGAAUAACCCAGGGAAACUUGGGCUAAUACCGGAUACCUCCUUCGGGAGAAAGAUUUAUCGCUAUGAGAUGGGCCCGCGUCAGAUUAGGUAGUUGGUCGGGUAACGGCCUACCAAGCCGACGAUCUGUAGCUGGUCUGAGAGGAUGACCAGCCACACUGGGACUGAGACACGGCCCAGACUCCUACGGGAGGCAGCAGUGGGAAUAUUGGACAAUGGGGGCAACCCUGAUCCAGCCAUGCCGCGUGAGUGAAGAAGGCCUGCGGGUUGUAAAGCUCUUUCGACGGGGACGAUGAUGACGGUACCCGUAUAAGAAGCCCCGGCUAACUUCGUGCCAGCAGCCGCAGUAA